GACGAACGCUGGCGGCGUGCUUAACACAUGCAAGUCGAGCGGUAAGGCCCUUUCGGGGGUACGACGAGCGGCGAACGGGUGAGUAACACGUGGGUGACCUGCCCUCAGCUCUGGGAUAAGCCUGGGAAACGUGGGUCUAAUACCGGAUAUGACUCCAUGACGCAUGUUGGUGGGGUGGAAAGCCUUGUGCGGCUGAGGAUGGGCCCGCGGCCUAUCAGCUUGUUGGUGGGGUGANGGCCUACCAAGGCGACGACGGGUAGCCGGCCUGAGAGGGCGACCGACCACACUGGGACUGAGACACGGCCCAGACUCCUACGGGAGGCAGCAGUGGGGAAUCUUGCGCAAUGGGCGAAAGCCUGACGCAGCGACGCCGCGUGAGGGAUGACGGCCU
RNAcentral lists this ribosomal RNA (391 nucleotides) under uncultured bacterium. Its description in RNAcentral is "bacterial SSU rRNA". It matches the Rfam family "Bacterial small subunit ribosomal RNA", at positions 28 to 417 of the family's 1533-position model. The record is from RNAcentral.